CAAAUGAAGAGUUUGAUCCUGGCUCAGAUUGAACGCUGGCGGCAUGCCUAACACAUGCAAGUCGAACGGUAACAGGCCGUUGUGAUCCCUUCGGGGUGAACUUGGCGCUGACGAGUGGCAGACGGGUGAGUAACGCGUAGGAAUUUGCCCGGUAGUGGGGGAUAGCUCGGAGAAACUCGAAUUAAUACCGCAUACCCUCCAUGGAGGAAAGCCGGGGACCUUUUCGGAGGCCCGGCGCUACCGGAUAAGCCUGCGUCUGAUUAGCUUGUUGGUGAGGUAACGGCUCACCAAGGCGACGAUCAGUAGCUGGUCUGAGAGGACGAUCAGCCACACUGGGACUGAGACACGGCCCAGACUCCUACGGGAGGCAGCAGUG
Molecule: ribosomal RNA, 376 nt
Filed under: Gammaproteobacteria bacterium
Lineage: Bacteria; Pseudomonadati; Pseudomonadota; Gammaproteobacteria
Description: bacterial SSU rRNA
Rfam family: Bacterial small subunit ribosomal RNA
Source: RNAcentral